Long non-coding RNA from Sorghum bicolor (sorghum), 367 nucleotides. RefSeq lists it as uncharacterized. The record is from RefSeq and is a predicted model, not a curated record. NCBI's taxonomy places the organism in Eukaryota, Viridiplantae, Streptophyta, Magnoliopsida, Poales, Poaceae. The transcript is spliced from 2 exons.
GCCAUCGACCGUCCUCAUCUAGCUCACCAUCGCAUGUACCCUUACCGGCGCUCUAGCGACUCGACGGGGCCAGAGCAGGCACAAAGGCGCAAGACAUGGAGCAGCACGGAGGCAGGGCGCCGCCACCAGCCUGCUACUGCGCUGCAUUACGCGAACCAGCUUAUACAGAUCGCAUCUUGAGGAAGACAUCUGUAUUCAACUAUGUCAUCCGCCGGUCCAUGGUUCAUCCCUACGACGACCACAAAGCAUUCGGUGUACCGGCGACCAAAAAGCAAGCUGAGAGACAAAUACUAGUUCUAAAAUAAUAUAUUCGUAAUAAUGUAUGAACUGAUACUCCUGUUUAAUAAAAGGUAUCUACAUAUACAUA